GAUUAUGUACUUGAAUCCAAAAAUAAGUAUGAUUUAGAGGAAUUUGCUUUUGAUCUUCCUAUGUAGCCAAAUGAUGAAAAACUACAAGAUGCUUGUUUAAGGACCACGGUAUACCAUUUAUCACCCUCUUUAUAUCCACCUCAUAGAAAAACUGAAAUAGAUACCAUUUCCCCCCUAAAUCUGAUAUUAUUACACCCCCUAAUGGAUGCC
RNAcentral lists this long non-coding RNA (210 nucleotides) under Gossypium barbadense (sea-island cotton). RNAcentral's name for it is "long non-coding RNA (GBAR_LNC014811)". Lineage: Eukaryota; Viridiplantae; Streptophyta; Magnoliopsida; Malvales; Malvaceae. The record is from RNAcentral.